This 491-nucleotide ribosomal RNA is filed under the name uncultured bacterium. RNAcentral's name for it is "partial 16S ribosomal RNA". It matches the Rfam family "Bacterial small subunit ribosomal RNA", at positions 28 to 507 of the family's 1533-position model. The record is from RNAcentral.
GAUGGACGCUAGCUACAGGCUUAACACAUGCAAGUCGAGGGGAAACGAUGAGAGAGCUUGCUCUCUUAGUCGUCGACCGGCGCACGGGUGAGUAACGCGUAUCCAACCUGCCUCUGACCAAGGGAUAACCCGUCGAAAGUCGGACUAAUACCUUAUGCAGUCGUCGGAAGUCAUCUGAUGACGACGAAAGAUUUCAUCGGUGAGAGAUGGGGAUGCGUCUGAUUAGCUUGUUGGCGGGGUAACGGCCCACCAAGGCGACGAUCAGUAGGGGUUCUGAGAGGAAGGUCCCCCACAUUGGAACUGAGACACGGUCCAAACUCCUACGGGAGGCAGCAGUGAGGAAUAUUGGUCAAUGGGCGUAAGCCUGAACCAGCCAAGUAGCGUGCAGGAUGACGGCCCUAUGGGUUGUAAACUGCUUUUAGGCGGGGAUAAAGUGAGGGACGUGUCCUUCAUUGCAGGUACCGCAUGAAUAAGGACCGGCUAAUUCCGUG